RNAcentral lists this ribosomal RNA (482 nucleotides) under uncultured bacterium. RNAcentral's name for it is "partial 16S ribosomal RNA". It matches the Rfam family "Bacterial small subunit ribosomal RNA", at positions 30 to 507 of the family's 1533-position model. The record is from RNAcentral.
AUUGAACGCUGGCGGCAUGCCUUACACAUGCAAGUCGAACGGUAACGGGCCUUCGGGUGCCGACGAGUGGCGAACGGGCGAGUAAUACAUCGGAACGUGCCCGAUCGUGGGGGAUAACGAGGCGAAAGCUUUGCUAAUACCGCAUACGAUCUACGGAUGAAAGCAGGGGACCGCAAGGCCUUGCGCGGACGGAGCGGCCGAUGGCAGAUUAGGUAGUUGGUGGGAUAAAAGCUUACCAAGCCGACGAUCUGUAGCUGGUCUGAGAGGAUGAUCAGCCACACUGGGACUGAGACACGGCCCAGACUCCUACGGGAGGCAGCAGUGGGGAAUUUUGGACAAUGGGCGCAAGCCUGAUCCAGCCAUGCCGCGUGCAGGAUGAAGGCCUUCGGGUUGUAAACUGCUUUUGUACGGAACGAAAAGCCUUCUUUUAAUACAGGAGGGUCAUGACGGUACCGUAAGAAUAAGCACCGGCUAACUACGUG